Molecule: non-coding RNA, 120 nt
Organism: Pelobates cultripes (western spadefoot toad)
Lineage: Eukaryota; Metazoa; Chordata; Amphibia; Anura; Pelobatidae
Source: the annotation of a GenBank genome assembly
UUUUAGUAGCCACUUAGUCACAAACACUGACCAAAUUUAGCAUUUUUGCAUUUUUAUCACACAAACAAAUAUAAAUGCUAACUUUGGCCAGUGUUUGUGACUAAGUGGCUACUAAAAAAG